Long non-coding RNA from Lolium rigidum, 460 nucleotides. RefSeq lists it as uncharacterized. NCBI's taxonomy places the organism in Eukaryota, Viridiplantae, Streptophyta, Magnoliopsida, Poales, Poaceae. The transcript is spliced from 3 exons. The record is from RefSeq and is a predicted model, not a curated record.
CUCGCUCGCUGCUGCAACUGCCCCACGGAAGAAAAAAAAAGGAAUUCGCAGUACAAAAAUUCUCCGUUGGUUCCGAAUUUUCGAUCCAGUCCGCGCGCCGCCGGAUCGGAUGCGGGAAGCGGAGGCCGCCGCCGCCGUGUCCGGUCUCUGAAGUGGACGAGGAGCUGACCCCAUCUGGAGAAAUCCUAGUGUAGGAGUUGGUGCCUAUUUGUGUGCUUUGUCGCCUCCGUAGUUGUAGGCAAAAUGGACGGGGAAGUUGCUAGCAACGUGGCGCUUGAUUCUGCUGUUUUCCAUGUGAACUUAACCAAAAACAGGUACGAGGCAAUUGCUUGUAGCGAAGAGAGCGCUGAAUCGGUAGCAUCUGGUCCUUUUGAUCAGCUAGUCCUGCACUUGGAAGAUGCCAAAAACUUCCAAUCUCGUUCAUCAAGUGGCUCAUUUAAGCUGUUAUUGGCUGGAGAUG